Stegostoma tigrinum is the source of this 5695-nucleotide long non-coding RNA. RefSeq lists it as uncharacterized. The transcript has 7 exons. NCBI's taxonomy places the organism in Eukaryota, Metazoa, Chordata, Chondrichthyes, Orectolobiformes, Stegostomatidae. The record is from RefSeq and is a predicted model, not a curated record.
UGCUGGUGCUUGUGUUGGGGUUUGUGAUUGUGUUGGGGUGUGUAUGUGUUAGACUCUGUGAUUAUGUUGGGGUGUAAGUAUAUUGGGAAGUGUGGAUGUGUUGGGUUGUAUGUGUGUGGAAUCCGUGAUUGUGUUGGGGCGUAUGUGUAUUGAGAUGUGUGGUUGUGUUGGGGUGCAUGUGUGUUGGAAUCUAUGUGUUGAAUUGUAUAUGUGCGUUAGAAUCUGUGAUUGUGUUGGGGUGUAUGUGCAUUGGGAUGUGUGAUUUUACUGGGGAGUAUGCGCGUUUUGCUGGUCUGUAUGUGUGUUGGUGUGGGCAAUACUCUAGGAUGCUGAAAAGUUGGAUCUGACAGUGGUUGUGUGAGGAAAGAGUGCGUGAGCGCGUCAGCACUAAAGUUAAACACAAAAGCCUUUUACGCAGGGGCGAGAGGAGUUUCCUUUGUUCUAGACAGACAGGCUUGUAAGAGAUCAGAGAGAAUUAACCCUCAGACACACGGCACUUUGGAGGUUAUCGGUGGGCUGGCAGCAUUGAGAUGCAGGUAAUGACCAUUCCCAUGCCUCUGGGGGAAGCGUUCACCGGAAUAUACCAGGAUGAAAAAUUAAUAUGGAUUUUUACAACUUCUAAAGAGCAAAAUGUCAGUGGAUUUAUAUUCUCUACUCAUGCACUUGUAGACCCAAAAGCUGAUGGAGGAGUUUGGAGAUCGUAUUUUGAAGAGUUCAUCAUUUAACUCUUGGGAGCAACAGUUAGUUCAUGUGAAGACAAGCAUAGGAUAUAAUGUAAUGUGAUCUCUGUGGAAUUUACUUUUAAAAAUUGGAUUGGUUGUGAAAAUUGUGGCAUUUGGAUCAUUCAACUGAUCAGGAUUCAGAAUGAAUUUCAGGGCACUGAACUCAAUUUUCCACCAAGCUUACAGAGACCCACUAAUUUGGCACUGAGCUGAUUUCAGAUUCGGAUGCUUGACUUGACUACACAUUUGGAUAAGCUCACGGAACCAUUGGCUUUCCCUCUCUAAAUUUGCUCCAGCAUGAAACCAACUCUAGUGAAGCAAUGAAGAACAGUGCAGAAUCUCACAAUUGAACUCCUGUUUGCCUUUGCUAACUGGUAAAGAUCUGACUUGAAUCAGAAAGCUAUGGAUUCAGGUUCCACAUUAGAAAUCAACCUGACACUUCAGUGCAUGAACUGUGGGAGGAAUGCUGCCUUUCAGAGGCACUGAUUGCCCGCCCUGUAAGGGACCAGACUUGAUGAGCAUGUCUAGACUGUAAACAGCAGGAGCCUUUAGAUCAUCCAGCGGGUGAAGCACUUCACAGAGAAGAUUCAUCCUGUUUUCACCACAUACUCACCUCCCAUCAAUCAUCAACGGAGAGCAAUCAAGAAAAGGAAUCCUGGUUGUUUUGAGUGAGUCCUCGCUCUGUCCCCAGCAAGUCGAGGAGUUACUCAUGGUGCAGGCAAUCCAUGCACAAGUGUAGGGCAUGGAUCUAAACUAGCAUUAUGUACAAUGCAAGAAGCAGAACAACGUGAAGUCAAAUGGAAGUACAUUCCUGUAGAUGUUGAAAAUAUGAACAGCAAAUCAUUGGAUUCCAGUCAAUAUAUUAUCAAUGUCAACUUACUGAAGAACAACGAAAGCAUCUUAAUCCAGCAUCUUGAAGGCUUUAGAUCCAGUAACAGCAAAUUCUGAAUUCUGAUGUUAUGUACAUUUAUGUUGAAUAAUGUAAUAUUAGCCUAUGUGAAUUGUAAUUGCUUGCUUAUAAGUUGGUACUCUGAAAAUACAUUUUGGAUGAUUAACAUGAUUGUUGGUCAUUUGUGAAAAUUCUUAAAAUGUAAACGUAGGAGAGAAAAAUGCCUGGCAUUUUAGCUUUAUCUCUUCCUUGACCCUUAUGCUACUCACCCAUCAUUUAUGGACAUUUUCCAACAUAUGCUUCAAGAGAUUUAUUGGUUUGUUUGAGCUGUGUGACACAGCUUGAUAACCCUCCAGAAUCAAUUCAAAGUUGCUUUCCUAUCAGUUGUGCUUGAAAACAGCCCUAGAGAUUGUGAACCAAAGUUUGGAUAUCCACCUUUACUAGGAGAGAAUAAAAGAGACUUGCGUUUUCAUUUAUUUACAUUUAUCCUAUUGCCGUAAUGCAGAAACCCAGCAACCAAACGUGCAUGAAGCAAACUUCCACAAACAGCAAUGUGAUCUGACUGAGAAGUAAGUUUUUUUUCUGUGCUCUUCCCUUACAUUCUUCUCUGAAGUAGUGCCAUAUUAUUUUUUAGGAUUCUCCUGUGUUGGAUUAACAUAUGAACCAAAAGAUGGUAUUGCCUGUAGUCCAAUACUCCCUCACUACGAAUACCAAAGCAAAAUACAAUGAAUGCUGGUAACUUGAUACAAAAACAUGCUGGAAGUACACAGAGAAAUCUGUUGACACUUCAGAGCAUGGCUAUUUCCUUCAUACUGUCAACUUGAUUUUCAUGCUGGAGGACCCUGUAACUCAAAGGCAAGUGUGAUAGCAACCAAGCCACAAUUGGUGCACUGAAUGUUACCAGAAAUAAGAGACUGCAAUUAGACAAGGUGGAGGGAUUGUUCUCUUAAGAGCAGUGUAUUUUCAGGGUGAUUUAAUAGAGAUGUUCACAUAGUGAGAUAUGAUAUAUUUCUACUGAUAUGAGAUUUGCUAAUCAGAGGACAAAAUAUUUAAUUAAUUAGCAAAAGAAGUAAAGGAGAGAUUAGGAGUUUUUUUGUGUAACAAGUUGUAAUGGUCUGUAGUGCACUGUCUAGAAGAAUAGUGAAAUCACAUUCAAUGGUAACUGUCCAAAGGAAUUUGGGCAUACACUUGGAGGGCCAAAAUUUGCAAGACUUUGGGAAGAGUUUCAGAAAGGAAUAACUUACACAGCUCUUUCAAAGAGCCAAAUGAAAGAUGUUUGAUGUAAGUUUCUGUUCAGUUUUCUUUCUCACCAUAUCCCGAGGGACUUUUGGUUGAUAUUUUCCUGCACUUUCUCCCUGUGAUGUAAGGUUCAUCAUACUUCAAAAGCCAUUGCACCACAGAUCAACUGAUUCAGCUAAGUCAAGGAUCAAACCUCGAGAUAUUGCUAUGUGGCUCACUGUCACAAUUUUGAAUAAGCGCGAGGCAGUUUUCUCUGGUGUCUAAAAAAAUGUACAUCCUUCAGCCAACAUCAAACACUACACUGCUAUGUCUUUAUCAACCAAACUGUGAACUAAAAGAGGAUCCUGUAAGUGGUGUGAUAUUUGGUAACUGUGUAUAGGAAUCUGUGUAAACAGAUGAUCUGCUAAUUAUCACAUUGCUGUUUGUGAAAGUUUGGUGUCCUUUAAUUGGCUCCAACAUUUCAUAUGUUACAGUGGUGAUUACACUUCCAAAGUAUGUCAUUGAUUGUAAGGUGGCUUGUGAUAUCCUGAAUGGGGUUUCUCCUAUAGAUCUGACAAUAUUCCAAUUGACGAGUGCUUUAUGAACUCUCAGCUUAUUUGAUGAUAUGCUUUUAUGUACAGACCAGAGUCAUUGGACUAAUAAUCUAGAGAAUUUGAGUUAAGUUCCACCAUGGCAUUUUGAGAAUUUGAAUUCAGGUAAAAACAAAUUUGCAGAUAAAAAAGAACUGCUCCAAAAAAAAGAACGUAAUGCUGUCAGAUUGAUCAUUCCCUCAAGGGGAGAUGCUGGUAAUAUCAUUAGAUUAAAGAGUCAACAAUCUAGGCUGCUGCUGUUGGGUUGGGCGUGUGGUGGUGGGGGGUGGAUGUCACCAGUUCAAAGUAUCAUUUAAUAAAGUUCUGGCAUUGAAAGCUACCCUCCCUAAUGAUGACCAUCAAACUAUUGCUGGUUGUUGUUAAAGACUUAACUGCUUCACUAAUGUGCUGUUAGCUAAGGAAAUGUGCUGUCCUUGCCAGUUUGGUAGAUGUGAAUCCAAGUUCAUAAUGACAAAAUGGUUGACUUUUAUUUGCCCUUUGAAACAGCAAACCAUUCAGUUCUCAGAGCAACAAAUACUGGUUGUGCCGGUGAUGUUGCCAUCCUGUAAAAGAAUGAAGACUUAACUGACUUCUGAAAUCACUGAGGGCAACUAGAGUGUGGUGAUAAACUUCAUUCUUGCCAGCAAUGAUUAUGUUCCUAGAAUGAAUCUACAAAGAGAUAAAAUUAGAGAAGUUAAAAAUGAAUCUUAGUAAAAUAUCUCCAAUGUUAGCCUUUAAUGCUGUUUCCUGUAUGCUGUAACAGUAACACACCUUCUCCUGUGUUCUUGACUUGCACUGUGUUAAAUCUCCCAUCACUUAUACAUCAAGAUGCCAUCCCUUUGAGUUUAAUUACUACGCUAUUGUUUCCCAUGGCAUUCCUGAAUGAAGCACAGGGGGGAACUGGUAUGAACCUGUGCCAAAAAUUUAAACUUCACUUUUGAUAGCAGUGAGUACUAACAGAGAUCCUUCCCCCAUGGUCCUUUUUGUCAAUGUCUACUUAAGAAAUUGAACGUCCUGUAAAUAAUUCUCUUUCUCUCCAAAUUGAUGUUUUGUUACAACAUACUUAAUUGAGCAAAAGUGUACCUUGAGACAUCCUUAGGCAUUGAUGUAUAUUAAUGCAUGUUUUUUUUUCUAUUUGGUUUUGCCUGCUUUCUUCCCUGUGUGCCUAUUCUCCCACUUUCAGGUCAGGAACACCAUAGGGAUUGCUGGCUGUUUCUGAGCCAUGCAGGAGCCUUGAAGCUGACAGCAGGUUGGCCUAAUAAACAAAGUAAUCAAAGGGAUGAGCACUGAUGGAGAAUCGCGACUGGGGAUAUCCUUGAGUCUGUAGCCCUCCUGUCACUGACUGAACCACACUCCCCGACCUGCCACUGUGAGGUUGCCAAUGACAAAAGGUUGUCCUAACAGCUGCAAAAUUCUGCUGGCGCACUAAAAUAGCAAUUAAUAGAGCAUGUGCAAAUUGAUCCAGCGGCAGCCCAUGCUAGAGAGUUGUGGCAUGGUGGCUCAGUGGUUAGCAUUACUGCAUCAUAGUGCUAGGGGCCUGGGUUCAAUACCAGCCCUGGGUGACUGUCUUGCAUGCAGUAUGCAUGUUCUCACUGUGUCUGCAUGCAGACACAGCACAAGGUACACUCUCUCAAGUCCAGAGAUGUGUGGGUUAGGUGGAUUGACCAUACUAAAUUGCCCAUAGUGUCCAGGGAUGCGCAGGCUAGGGGGAUUAGCCAUGGUAAAUGUGGCUACACAGGAAUGGGGGGAUGUUUUGAGGCAGGGGCUGGGUCUAGGGCUGGGUCUGGGUCUGGGUCUGUGUCUGAGUAGGAUGCUUUUUGGAGAGUCAGGGUGGACUCAAUGUGCUGAAUGGCCUUUUUCUGCACUGUAGGGAUUCCACGAUUCUAGUUGCAGCUCCUUGCCAUAUUUCUGCUGGACCCAACUCCUGGGGGCUAAUUAAAUUCACCCCAUUGUCUUUUGUUGAAGUUAACAUACUUACCACAGUUCAUUGAAGGAACAGUAGGAAUGAUAAGACCAACUCUUUUCAAGUUCUCACCAUAUAAUCCAACCCUACUAAUACUUUUUACAUUGCUCAUAAGCCAGCCACAAAAAAAAAGCCCGUGGGAGAAAGAAAAUCCUCACGGAGCAGAACAUUGAAGCGUUUUAGCAAUGAUUUAGAUACUUGAACCACACUUUGGAUAAACGGGGAGGAUGUGGCACUACAGUAAUGUCACUAGACAGGAAAUCCAGACAAUUUGGCUAAUACUUUGUGGAUAUGGGCUCAAAACCAACCACAA